RNAcentral lists this unclassified non-coding RNA (109 nucleotides) under soil metagenome. Its description in RNAcentral is "partial internal transcribed spacer 1". The record is from RNAcentral.
GUGAACGCCCCUCACGGGCUUAUAACUAUUCCAAACCUCUGUGAACCGUGCCCUUCGGGGCUAUUUUACAAACAUGGUGUAAUGAACGUCAUAUAUCAUAACAAAACAA